CUACCCCCUAAAAGCCAAAAUGGGAAAGGAAAAGACUCAUAUCAACAUUGUCAUCACUGGACAUGUAGAUUCGAGCAAGUCCACCACUACUGGCCAUCUGAUCUACAAAUGUGGUGGCAUCGACAAAAGAACCAUUGAAAAAUUUGAGAAGGCGGCUGCUGAGAUGGGAAAGGGCUCCUUCAAGUAGGCCUGGGUCUUGGAUAAAGUAAAAACUGAGGGUGAACGUGGUAUCACCAUUGAUAGCUCCUUGUGGAAAUUUGAGACCAGAAAGUACUACGUGACUAUCACUGAUGCCCAGGACACAGAGACUUCAUCAAAAACAUGAUUACAGGGACAUUUCGGGCUGACUGUGCUGUCAGGAUUGUUGCUGCUGGUGUUGGUGAGUUUGAAGCUGGUAUCUCCAAGAAUGGGCAGACCCAAGAGGAUGCCCUUCUGGCUUACACACUGGGCAUGAAACAAUUAAUUGUUGAUGUUAACAAAAUGGAUUCCACCGAACCACCCCACAGCCAGAAGAAAUAUGAGGAAGUCAUUAAGGAAGUCAGCACUUGCAUUAAGAAAAUUGGCUAAACCCCGACACAAGAGCAUUCCUGCCAAUUUCUGGUUGGAAUGGUGACAACAUGCUGGAGCCAAAUGCUAUCAUGCCUUGGUUCAAGGGAUGGAAAUGCCAUAAGGAUGGCAAUGCCAGUGGAGCCACGCUGCUUGGGGCUCUGGACUGCAUCCUACCACCAACCCAUCCAACUGACAAGCCCUUGGGCAUAUACCUCUCCAGAAUGUCUACAAAAUUGGUGGUAUCGGUACUGUUCCUGUUGGCCAAGUGAGGACCUGGUAUGGUGGUCACCUGUGCUCCAGUUAGCAUCACAACUAAAGUAAAAUCUGUCAAAAUGCACCAUGAAGCUUUGAGUGAAGCUCUUCCUGGGGAUAAUGUGGGCUUCAAUGUAAAGAAUGUGUCUGUCAAGGAUGUUCAUCAUGGCAACAUUGCUUGUGACAGCAAUGACCCACCAAUGGAAGCAGCUGACUUCACUGCUCAGAUGAUUAUCCUAGACCAUCCAGGCCAAAUCAGUGCUUGACUAUGCCCCUGUACUGGAUUGCCACAUGACUCACACUGCAUGCAAGUUUGCUGAGCUGAAGGAAAAGAUUGAUGGCUGUUCUGGUAAAAAGCUGGAAGAUGGCCCAAAAUUCUUGAAUUCUUGCUGCCAUCAUUGAUAUAGUUCCUGGAAAGCCCACGUGUGUUUAGAGCUUCUCAGACUAUCUACCUCUGGGUCACUCUGCUGUUCAUGAUGUGAAACAAACAGUUGCCAUAGGUGUCAUCAAAGGAGUGGACAAGAAGGCUGUUGGAGCUGGCAAGGUCACCAAGUCUGCCCAGAAAGCUCAGAAGGCUAAAUGAAUAUUAUCCCUAAUACCUGCCACCCCGGUCUUAAACAGUGGUGGACGAACAGUCUCAGAACUGUUUGUUUGAAUUGGCCAUUUAAGUUUAGUAGUAAAAGACUGGUUAAUGAUAACAAUGCAUC
This is a non-coding RNA of Callithrix jacchus (white-tufted-ear marmoset), 1508 nucleotides long. The record is from RefSeq and is a predicted model, not a curated record. NCBI's taxonomy places the organism in Eukaryota, Metazoa, Chordata, Mammalia, Primates, Cebidae.